GCAGAGCAUAUAGGGAAGUGAGCGGGGAGAAGCGUUCUUUUCCCUCGUGGUGCAGGCUGAAGGCGGCUGGCGGGGCUGUGUUGGAGAGGCAGGCAAAGUCCACCCACAGUUUUGGAUGAUGAAUGUUAUGUUUCAGAAUACAGACCAACAUGAAGCUGACUUGAAGGAUACCCCUUUCUGUGCUGGAAUCCUGUUGUAAAACCACAGUGACAUACUUAGAGGAUGGUAGCUAUUGCUCAUAUGAAAUUAUCAAGGCUGAUGCAAAACGUUAAAACUAAGCACAUGAACCCAUGACAAAACCAGCUGAGCUUGUACAGUGCAAAAAUGAGCAAAUGAAACAACAUCAGUUAUUUGCUCGUUAAAAUGGCUGAGUUCUGCUGCAUCUUCUAUGUUAGCUUUACAUAUGGCAAAAGCUAAAAAAGUCACAAUAGAGCUGGUGAAAGCAGUUAUAGGAGAGCAUACGGUAAGACGCAUGCUAUUGCUCUUCAAAUACCAUUAGUCCUAUUGUUUCUGUGAUCUCAGAUGAUAAGAUGUUAAACUAGCAAGCUUGCAGUACAGUUGGAUGACUCUACUAAUGCUGCAACUUAGGAGUGUUUUGAUCAUCCUUAUUGAGGAAAAGGUUUUAGUGAGUGAAGAGCUGCAUACUUGAACCAUUGCAGAGGAAAUUUUCUAAGUAUUUGAGAAGCUUGUGAUUAAAAAUGGUUUGGACUGUAUAACUUCAUUGGCGUAACCCACUGAAAGAGCAUCAGCAAUGACCAGACAAUAUUCAGGAUUAGUACAGGGAACAAAAAAUGUAACUCCAAUGGUCUGUCAUACCACUGCUUCUUACAUUGUGAAGCAUUUUAAAGAGUAGCAAGGGAAGAGUAAAAGGAUAGCCCAAGAGACUGAGUAUUCCUCUGACCUAUUCACUUAAUGGCCAGCCUUGAUUUGCUGUUGUAUCUGUAGUGCUGUAAGACAUUGAGACAUUCUGAGUUUAGAGGAACUUGUUUAAAGAAUCACCAGUCAGAGUUUGGCUUGAAACAGAUGUGUGAUACUUGGCCACAAGUUUCCUUGGCCAAAUAGAACAACUAAUUUACAAUUUGGUGAAUGAGAAAUAUUCACAUCAAGCCGCUGUGAAGCAUCCUUUGGCAGCCACACCUUUCUUUAGGUGUAACAGAAUAAUAGCUUCCAGUAAGCAAAGUCCUGGACAGGGUGUGUUACUAUCAGCAAUAUACAUCUGGCUUAAUAAACAUUGUAGUAGGGAUGUGGCCAGAUGGCAGAAUCUGCAGUCUUCUUUUUAGAAGCCUGCAGACAGCUACAGGCAUAAUUUCAUUGUGGUAGUUAUUGUGAGACAGACACACAGAUUUACUAAAUAACAAGCAAUUUUAGCAAUACAGGUUCUUCUGGUGACAUUUACAGUCCAUGAAAACACUGAAGAUCUUUUGGAUUAUAUUAAAGGAAUGUAUGACAAGAUCUCAUAAGAAGUUGGGAAAAACAACCACUUAACUUUUAUAUCACAAUAGAAUUAUCAUAUAUCCUGCAGACAAAAUUAUGUAAACUGCUAAGAUUGGUAAGCAUGAUACCAACAGAGGUCACGGAGUUAGAAAAGUACAAAGUAAUGAGAAAAUGUUGUGAUCUGCCCCCUCAGCAUGUGGUCUGUUCAUUUCAGUUGGAAAAAUUCACCAAAUGUUUAUAAUUUGAGUAAACGUAUAUAUUUGAGUGUUUCUCACUGAAUAAAUAUGAAAUGCUUAA
Long non-coding RNA from Heteronotia binoei (common prickly gecko), 1731 nucleotides. RefSeq lists it as uncharacterized. The record is from RefSeq and is a predicted model, not a curated record. The transcript is spliced from 3 exons. Lineage: Eukaryota; Metazoa; Chordata; Lepidosauria; Squamata; Gekkonidae.